This 466-nucleotide ribosomal RNA is filed under the name uncultured bacterium. RNAcentral's name for it is "partial 16S ribosomal RNA". It matches the Rfam family "Bacterial small subunit ribosomal RNA", at positions 29 to 506 of the family's 1533-position model. The record is from RNAcentral.
ACGCACGCUGGCGGCGUGCUUAACACAUGCAAGUCGAACGGAAAGGCCCUGCUUUUGUGGGGUGCUCGAGUGGCGAACGGGUGAGUAACACGUGAGUAACCUGCCCUUGACUUUGGGAUAACUUCAGGAAACUGGGGCUAAUACCGGAUAGGAGCUCCUGCUGCAUGGUGGGGGUUGGAAAGUUUCGGCGGUUGGGGAUGGACUCGCGGCUUAUCAGCUUGUUGGUGGGGUAGUGGCUUACCAAGGCUUUGACGGGUAGCCGGCCUGAGAGGGUGACCGGCCAAAUGGGGACUGAGAUAGGGCCCAGAACCCUACGGGAGGCAGCAGGGGGGAAUAUUGCACAAGGGGCGGAAGCCUGAUGCAGAAACGCCGCGUGGGGGAUGACGGCCUUCGGGUGGUAAACCGCUUUCGCCUGGGACGAAGGGGGGGUGACGGUAAUGGGUAAAGAAGCACCGGCUAACUACGU